This 498-nucleotide ribosomal RNA is filed under the name uncultured bacterium. RNAcentral describes it as "partial 16S ribosomal RNA". It matches the Rfam family "Bacterial small subunit ribosomal RNA", at positions 30 to 523 of the family's 1533-position model. The record is from RNAcentral.
AUUGAACGCUGGCGGCAUGCCUUACACAUGCAAGUCGAACGGCAGCACGGGGCAACCUGGUGGCGAGUGGCGAACGGGUGAGUAAUACAUCGGAACGUGCCCUGUAGUGGGGGAUAACUAGUCGAAAGAUUAGCUAAUACCGCAUACGACCUGAGGGUGAAAGUGGGGGACCGCAAGGCCUCAUGCUAUAGGAGCGGCCGAUGUCUGAUUAGCUAGUUGGUGGGGUAAAGGCCUACCAAGGCGACGAUCAGUAGCUGGUCUGAGAGGACGAUCAGCCACACUGGGACUGAGACACGGCCCAGACUCCUACGGGAGGCAGCAGUGGGGAAUUUUGGACAAUGGGCGAAAGCCUGAUCCAGCAAUGCCGCGUGUGUGAAGAAGGCCUUCGGGUUGUAAAGCACUUUUGUCCGGAAAGAAAUGGCUCUGGUUAAUACCUGGGGUCGAUGACGGUACCGGAAGAAUAAGGACCGGCUAACUACGUGCCAGCCGCCGCAGUAA